Molecule: long non-coding RNA, 666 nt
Filed under: Amborella trichopoda
Lineage: Eukaryota; Viridiplantae; Streptophyta; Magnoliopsida; Amborellales; Amborellaceae
Description: long non-coding RNA (ATRI_LNC000745)
Source: RNAcentral
CAGUCAAGAGAGAGAGGGAGCGCGUUUUGCCAAACCAGAGAUGAAGGGUGAAAAUUGGUUUACAAUUCAAUGCGAGCCUCUCUCCCUCUCAAUGUGGAGAUCACGGUACGCAAUUCAAAGAGUUCACUUCCGUUGCAAGCUCUCUGGUUCACUUUCUCUCUCUUCUUCCUCUGUCUCUCAUUCAAUGUGAGAGCGCAUUUCUCUGGUUCACUCUCUCUCUUCCUCCUCUCUCUCUCUCAUUCAAUGUGAGAGGGCCGUUCUCUGGUUUACUUUCUCUCCUCCUUCAAUGACGGGGCAUUUCUCAGGUUCACUUUCUCUCUCUUCUUUCCCCUCAAUGUGAGGGCAUUUGGGUAACAGAAAGAGCUGCCUCUCUCUCUCUUUCCAAAUCUGAACUGAUCUGAGCCGUCAGUGCGAUGAUCACCGGCACUUGUCUUCAAAUCCAGGCCAUCUCACUCUCUCCUCUGCCUCAACUCCCCGCGGGGUUUAAAACAUUACAGCUUAACAUUUAAGUCGCCACUUUCUCUAUCCUCUUAGACCUUCACAUUGCACUUUCUCUCUCUAAACCUCACAUACUUUUCGUUAAUUCUCAUAUAUUUUUCCUUAAAUAUGUUUAAGCUUUGCAGCCGCCUUCGGCCGGGACAAAUAUCGCCAACCAGAUUAUAAUGG